UUUAUGAAAGAAACAUAGUAAGUAACUCAGGGUUUGUUAUCUGGCAGCAAUUGCAGGAGUAACAAGAGAUGGCCACGGAGGGAGUGAGAAGUCGGCGAACACAGAGGAGGAAGAGAAGCACCAGUGCUGCAAGAGCAUCAACAACUGCUCCACUUCCAUGAAGUGGGCACUCUAAACUGCAAUUUAGCUUGUACCAUUCUGCAAACAUGUACACCUGAAAACAAAGAUGAUAUGAUAUCAAUUAAAAAAAUAAGCAAGUUUAGAUUAUCAUUCUUUUAAAUUUUAGAGAACACACAAAACAAAUGAGGUCCCUAAGCACACUCAUAUAAAGAAGUACAUUAUAGGAUAACAUAAUACUCCCUCAGUUUGACUUACGGUUAAAUUGACCAUUUUCAAAUCAAUAUAUCUUAUUAUUCUUUUAUAUAUAUGUAAAUAGUCUAUAAACAUUAUAAACUACAUACAAUUUAGUAUUAAUCACAAUGUUUGCUUUUUUGAAAAUCUAAAUAUAUAUGUUUCGUUAAUUAUAAAAAUGGUCAAUUUGACCAUAAAAGUGAAUGGAUGACUUUUAUCUUGGGACGGAAGGAGUAAUAAUAUUAAAAUAUUUUCUAAACGUACUCAUGUUGUCCACAUAAGAAUACCAAAUUAUGAAGAGUUUGAAUACUCAUAAUUGUCAAAAACUCGACUCGCAGCUACUAAUGUUGAAUUAGAUUAUGACUGAAAAUGAAGGUUUCUACUUUUAAGAAAAAAAUGUACUCCAUUUUUCAAAAAAAGAUUGCCAUAAGUGAACAGGCUCUGCUCUGACAAUAUUAAAAAUAGAAUACACAGCAAGUACAUUGUUUCACAGUUCACACACAAAUGCAAAUACUGAGUACUCUUUAGAUGGGUAGUGAUAUAUGUCUAUCAACAUGUUUGAUUAUCAUCAGUAGGAAAUAUGCAAUUGACAUUCUCACAGGUCCAUAGUUCUAAUGCAAGGACAAAAUUUCCCAUCUCUCCCACCACAGUUGUAGGCGAGCAACUAAGCAUAUCAAUUAUAUUGCAAAUUUAAAUCUUCAUUGUCAUUACUUGCCUUUUAAACUUAAUUAAAAGAGAGAAUAUCAUGCAAAGAAAAUUUAGAAACACUUAACUCUUUGAUUGGCAUAUUCAAUUUCAAAACAAACCACAAAUGAGGGAAAGUUUCAAGCAAUUAAUCCACAAAUAAAAUCGUACUAAUAAUAUAGUUGGUUAAAAAGAGCAUUUGAAAAAUCAUGUCAAAAGAAUCUAAUUUGUUAGCUUAAAAUUUACCAGUCAUCACCACAUCAUCAUCAUCAUCAUCAUCAUCAAGUCAUCCCAUCCUCCUCCUCACAUCUCUCUACUUGUAGUUUUCCGAGCAAUAAUUCAAAAGGGAAACAGGUAGAUAUAGCAAAUAUACCCUGGUGCAACUUGCAGUUUUCCUCAUUGACAUAGCAAAUAUACAAUACAUAUGUCUGAUCAAUAAUACAUAUGUGUGUUUGUGCGUGUAGAAAAAGAUAAAUAAACAUACAAAUUAUGCAACUUAGGAUCAACAAAAGUAGGGGAAGGGGUGUAUAUGCUACUGCUUCUUUUUUUAUUUUUGCAAAUUUCUGCUUAUCUUUGUUACAUGCAUCAUUGAGAAAAAUAAAAUAAAAUAUUUAAUUAUAAUAUGAUCAUUAUCAUAUAUGUCUUCCUUUACGUGAAGGAAGCAUUAGCAUCAAGAAAAGAUAAUAUGAUGGGGAACAUUGCCUGAAACAUGCAGUUCGUACCCCUUGCUUCUCUGAUGCAGUAGUUUUGUCAAUUUUGAGAUAUCGUGUAGAACAUUAUUACCUACCAUAAAGUUAGUGCCAGAGUUACCAGAACAUUACUCAAGUAUCUUCUAUGAAAUUUAGUUUGAUUGAAUUUAAAUUCUAAGAAAAUUCCUAAUUAUAAGCAAUUAUUAUAUAAAGUUCUCAUUAUGUAUCACGUUUUAGGCAAUGGAGAGAGUACCUUGUACCCAUUUCAAUUCUACGUGCAAUGAACUGACUACAAACUGUAAUUAAUACGACUUGACAAACAAAAUCUCUCUUUUUCCCUUUGGCGGGUACGGGGGACUUUGUUUAGAAACCAAAUUCUACCCUUUCUUGAAUUUUAUUUAUUUAUUGGUUUGAACGGUAAAGAGUAUUUUUGGGCCAAUUUACAUGUCAACGAAAAUCAUACUUUCCACAUAAGCCUGAUGCAGUCGGGAGAAUUCUCCAAGGUGCUGAACCUAAGGUACAAACUUAGAGUCAUGGAAAGGAACAAACCUCAUUAACCACCAGUAAUUCCUAUGACUUUCCAAGCAAUGCUUUUCUGUUUCUCUGCUACAGAUAAUUUGGCAGCAUCCACUCCUGCAAAAUUGCCAUUGAAAACACAGAUUUAUACAGCAAAACUUGGGUCAUAACUGUGCAAAUUGCGAGCAAAAGAACAGAAUUGUAAAACUUGAUUGUGAGAAAACAACAAAUAGCAAUAAACAAUUAAAAUAAUUACAUGAAAUUCAGUGAAACUUUGAAUACAUGAAAUUUAUUAAAGCUAAGAAAAUAAUGGGUUGAUUUAGAUCCCAAAAUAUUCAGAAAUCAAAUUAAACAAAUAUGGAAAUAGCCGUGGUUACUGACCAUAUUUAGUUUGAUUGAAUUUAAAUUCUAAGAAAAUUCCUAAUUAUAAGCAAUUAUUAUAUAAAGUUCCCAUUACGUAUCACGUUUUAGGCAAUGGAGAGAGUACCUUGUACCCAUUUCAAUUCUACGUGCUAUGAACCGACUACAAACUGUAAUUAGUAUGACUUGACAAAUAAAAUCUCUCUUUUUCCCUUUGGCGGGUACGGGGGACUUUGUUUAGAAACCAUAUUCUACCCUUUCUUGAAUUUUAUUUAUUUAUUGGUUUGAACGGUAAAGAGUAUUUUUGGGCCAAUUUACAUGUCAACGGAGAUCACACUUUCCACAUCAGCCUGAUGCAGUCGGGAGAAUUCUCCAAGAUGCUGAUCCUAAGGUACAAAUUAUAGUCAAGGAAAGGAACAAACCUCCUUAACCACCAGUAAUUCCUAUGACUUUCCAAGCAAUGCUUUUUUGUUUCUCUGCUACAGAUAAUUUGGCAGCAUCCACUCUUGCAAAAUUGCCAUUGAAAACACAGAUUUAUACAGCAAAACUUGGGUCAUAACUGUGCAAAUUGCGAGCAAAAGAAUAGAAUUGUAAAACUUGAUUGUGAGAAAACAACAAAUAUCAAUAAACAAUUAAAACAAAUAUGGAAACAGCGGUGGUUACUGACCAUAUUUCACGGUAAGAGAGAAAUUAAGACAACCGUACAAAGUAAACGCUUAGAAUCCAAGCAAUAAAUUGAGUUCGAAACCCUAUAUGCUUAGAAAUCGAAGGGGAAGAGGAUGAUACGGAUAUCCUAGAAGUCCGAUCUGUAAGCUUCAACAAUUGAGAGAGAUAUAUAGAGAGAGAUGAUGAUGGUGUGACAGGCAAACCCAGACCAAACCCGAAGCCCUUUACUUCUUAGGAGGUAUAUUGAAGAAAUCGAAGGAGGGAGAAGGGAGGGAGUACUCAAAUGAGAGGGGAAAGGAAAGAGGGAAAUCGAAGGAGGUAUAUUGCCCUUUACUUUGUUAAGCUUGGUUUGUUAUUUUUUGAAGGGUUAGAUUUAUCCCAACUUUGGACGGUUCAGAUCUUUUAAUAGGUUGAUUCACCAAGAAAAAUUCACCUUGUCAGUUAAUUCACCAAGAAAAAUUUUAAUCAACCAUGCAAACAAAUGAUAGUCAAAACAUUAAAUUUUGUCACAUACUUAACAUUUUGAACACACAAAUGUUUCAAACAGAGUUUCGUUCAAAUAGUAAAAUGAAAUUUUUAUAUCUAGAGUAUACAACAAAAGUAUGACACAAAAACAUCACUAUCACUUGAUUAAGCUCCAAAGAAA
RNAcentral lists this long non-coding RNA (3912 nucleotides) under Panax ginseng (ginseng). RNAcentral's name for it is "long non-coding RNA (PGIN_LNC009058)". Lineage: Eukaryota; Viridiplantae; Streptophyta; Magnoliopsida; Apiales; Araliaceae. The record is from RNAcentral.